CCAGCCCGCUCGAAGAACUUACAGGAAGUUGACGGGGCCGCACAAGCGGAGGAGCAUGUGGUUUAAUUCGAUGAUACGCGAGGAACCGUUACCUGGGCUCGAACGUAAGAUGACUGUAGGUGAAAGCUUACAGUCUCUUCGGAGCAUUUUACGAGGUGCUGCAUGGUUGUCGUCAGCUCGUGCCGUGAGGUGUCGGGUUAAGUCCCAUAACGAGCGCAACCCUACCUUUAGUUGCCAUCAGGUAAUGGCUGGGGACUCUAAAGGAACUGCCUACGCAAGUAGUGAGGAAGGCGGGGAUGACGUCAAAUCAGCACGGCCCUUACGUCCAGGGCUACACACGUGCUACAAUGGCCGAUACAGAGGGCAGCUACCUGGUGACAGGAUGCAAAUCUCCAAAGUCGGUCUCAGUUCGGAUCGGAGUCUGCAACCCGACUCCGUGAAGUUGGAUUCGCUAGUAAUCGCGCAUCAGCCAUGGCGCGGUGAAUACGUUCCCGGGCCUU
This 500-nucleotide ribosomal RNA is filed under the name uncultured Sphingobacteriales bacterium. RNAcentral describes it as "bacterial SSU rRNA". It matches the Rfam family "Bacterial small subunit ribosomal RNA", at positions 904 to 1382 of the family's 1533-position model. The record is from RNAcentral. Lineage: Bacteria; Pseudomonadati; Bacteroidota; Sphingobacteriia; Sphingobacteriales.